RNAcentral lists this transfer RNA (73 nucleotides) under Andalucia godoyi. Its description in RNAcentral is "tRNA-Ala". It matches the Rfam family "tRNA". From Rfam's summary of the family: Transfer RNA (tRNA) molecules are approximately 80 nucleotides in length. Their secondary structure includes four short double-helical elements and three loops (D, anti-codon, and T loops). Lineage: Eukaryota; Jakobea; Jakobida; Andaluciidae. The record is from RNAcentral.
GGGGAUGUAUUUCAAUUGGUAGAAGUCAUGCUUUGCACGCAUGCGGUUAUCGGUUCGAGCCCGAUCAUCUCCA